CCUACGGGUGGCUGCAGUGGGGAAUAUUGGACAAUGGGCGAAAGCCUGAUCCAGCCAUGCCGCGUGUGUGAAGAAGGCCUUCGGGUUGUAAAGCACUUUCAGUGGGGAAGAAAGCCUUGGGGCUAAUACCCUCGAGGAAGGACAUCACCCACAGAAGAAGCACCGGCUAACUCCGUGCCAGCAGCCGCGGUAAUACGGAGGGUGCGAGCGUUAAUCGGAAUUACUGGGCGUAAAGCGCGCGUAGGCGGUCUGAUAAGCCGGUUGUGAAAGCCCCGGGCUCAACCUGUGAACGGCAUCCGGAACUGUCAGGCUAGAGUGCAGGAGAGGAAGGUAGAAUUCCCGGUGUAGCGGUGAAAUGCGUAGAGAUCGGGAGGAAUACCAGUGGCGAAGGCGGCCUUCUGGACUGACACUGACGCUGAGGUGCGAAAGCGUGGGUAGCAAACAGGAUUAGAUACCCCAGUAGUC
This 465-nucleotide ribosomal RNA is filed under the name Vreelandella stevensii. RNAcentral's name for it is "partial 16S ribosomal RNA". It matches the Rfam family "Bacterial small subunit ribosomal RNA", at positions 338 to 795 of the family's 1533-position model. The record is from RNAcentral. Lineage: Bacteria; Pseudomonadati; Pseudomonadota; Gammaproteobacteria; Oceanospirillales; Halomonadaceae.